CCUACGGGAGGCAGCAGUGAGGAAUAUUGGUCAAUGGGCGAGAGUCUGAACCAGCCAAGUAGCGUGAAGGAUGACUGCCCUAUGGGUUGUAAACUUCUUUUAUAUGGGAAUAAAAUGUUCCACGUGUGGGAUUUUGUAUGUACCAUAUGAAUAAGGAUCGGCUAACUCCGUGCCAGCAGACGCGGUAAUACGGAGGAUCCGAGCGUUAUCCGGAUUUAUGGGGUUUAACGGGAGCGUAGGUGGAUUGUUAAGUCAGUUGUGAAAUUUUGCGGCUCAACCGUAAAAUUGCAGUUGAAACUGGCAGUCUUGAGUACAGUAGAGGUGAGCGGAAUUCGUGGUGUAGCGGUGAAAUGCUUAGAUAUCACGAAGAACUCCGAUUGCGAAGGCAGCUCACUGGACUGCAACUGACACUGAGGCUCGAAAGUGUGGGUAUCAAACAGGAUUAGAUACCCCAGUAGUC
This 460-nucleotide ribosomal RNA is filed under the name uncultured bacterium. Its description in RNAcentral is "partial 16S ribosomal RNA". It matches the Rfam family "Bacterial small subunit ribosomal RNA", at positions 338 to 795 of the family's 1533-position model. The record is from RNAcentral.